This 253-nucleotide ribosomal RNA is filed under the name uncultured bacterium. Its description in RNAcentral is "partial 16S ribosomal RNA". It matches the Rfam family "Bacterial small subunit ribosomal RNA", at positions 524 to 776 of the family's 1533-position model. The record is from RNAcentral.
UACGGAGGAGGCAAGCGUUAUCCGGAAUUAUUGGGCGUAAAGAGCUCGUAGGCGGUUUGUCGCGUCUGCUGUGAAAACCUAAGGCUCAACCUUGGGCUUGCAGUGGGUACGGGCAGACUAGAGUGCGGUAGGGGUGACUGGAAUUCCUGGUGUAGCGGUGGAAUGCGCAGAUAUCAGGAGGAACACCGAUGGCGAAGGCAGGUCACUGGGACGGUACUGACGCUGAGACGCGAAAGCGUGGGGAGCGAACAGG